Non-coding RNA from Epinephelus lanceolatus (giant grouper), 723 nucleotides. NCBI's taxonomy places the organism in Eukaryota, Metazoa, Chordata, Actinopteri, Perciformes, Serranidae. The record is from RefSeq and is a predicted model, not a curated record.
UGUCUUAUAACUGAAUGCCUUUUGUGUCAUUGACCUCAGUGUUGUAACCAAAGAUCAAGAGAACGUAGCUCCUGUAGAUGAGCUGGACAAUCCUGCACCCAUAGACCCACAGAACAGGACAAGGAGAGAUGACUCCAGCACAACUAAACCUCCAGUGGAAGGAGUGACCAAGUCAGGCGAUGGAGGUGCUGCAAAGACGGAUCCUCUGUGGAAAAUUGUCCUCAUUGUCUGCUGUUGUGUCGCUGCUGCCAUUGUUGUCAUUGUUCUUAUCCUGUUGAAGCUUGGAAAGAUCUGUAAGUUAGAAACUUCUGUUCUACAGUAUUUUAAAAUUAACUCUGGAGUCUAACUAUGUAUAUUUACUCUAAUAUAAGACAACCCCAACUUCUUAAAAGUUAUUUCCACUAAAUAAAAUCUUAAAUUGGAGCCAGUACUGUUUCUAAAACUGGCUUCAACAGUAAAAUGCUGCUUACACAUUGAUGCAUCAAUAUUGACAAUCUAAUAAUGGUAGAUAGAAUAAAAAUAAAUCAUGGAGAGGUAUAUUGUCUAUUGGUGCUCCCCACAAUAUCAAGCUAGAUGGAAGGAUAUUGAGUUGAAACUGGGCCAGGAUCCCCCUCAAACCAAGCUAGGGGAAAUAGAGCAUACAGACCCCAAGGGAGACGAUUCAAUAUUAAAAGAAACACUUAGAAUAUGGUGCGAGGUGGUUAAAAAAUACAAAUUGACAGU